UACGUAGGGUGCAAGCGUUGUCCGGAAUUAUUGGGCGUAAAGAGCUCGUAGGCGGUUUGUCGCGUCUGCUGUGAAAACUCGGGGCUUAACCCCGGGCCUGCAGUGGGUACGGGCAGACUAGAGUGCGGUAGGGGAGACUGGAAUUCCUGGUGGUAAGCGGUGAAAUGCGCAGAUAUCAGAAGGAACACCGGUGGCGAAAGCGACUCUCUGGCUCGUAUCUGACGCUGAGGUGCGAAAGCUUGGGUAGCAAACAGG
Molecule: ribosomal RNA, 255 nt
Filed under: uncultured bacterium
Lineage: Bacteria
Description: partial 16S ribosomal RNA
Rfam family: Bacterial small subunit ribosomal RNA
Source: RNAcentral